UGGUAAUUGACGGGGACCCUGCACAAGCUGGUGGAGCAUGUGGUUUAAUUCGAAGCAACGCGAAGAACACUUACCAUAAUCUUGACUAUCCUUUGACCGCUCUAGAGAUAGAGUCUUCCCCUUCGGGGGACAAAGUGACGAGGUGGUGCAUGGUUGUCGUCAGCUCGUNUCGUGUAGAUGUUGGGNUUAAGUCCCNGCAACGAGCGCAACCCUUAAGCUUAGUUGCCAUCAUUACAGUUGGUGCACUCUAAGCUUGACUGCCGGUUACAAACCGGCAGGAAGGUGGUGGAUGACGUCAUAAUCAUCAUGCCCUCUUAUGAUUUGUGGCUACACACCGUGCUACAAUGGCACCAAUACACAACGGGCAGCUAACACCGCGAGGUCAAGCAAAUCCCAUAAAGUUGUUCUCCAGCNUCGGAUUGCUAGUCUGCAACUCGACUACAUGAUAGCUGACAUCGCUAGUACAUCGUAGAUCGAGNAAUCCCCGUGGUUANUUNAAU
RNAcentral lists this ribosomal RNA (500 nucleotides) under Staphylococcus sp. I15. Its description in RNAcentral is "bacterial SSU rRNA". It matches the Rfam family "Bacterial small subunit ribosomal RNA", at positions 906 to 1375 of the family's 1533-position model. Lineage: Bacteria; Bacillati; Bacillota; Bacilli; Caryophanales; Staphylococcaceae. The record is from RNAcentral.